AGUGGGGAAUAUUGGACAAUGGGGGAAACCCUGAUCCAGCGACGCCGCGUGGGUGAAGAAGGCCUGCGGGUUGUAAAGCCCUUUCGGUGGGGAAGAAAAGCCUCGACCUAACACGUCGGGGUAUUGACGUAACCCACAAAAGAAGCACCGGCUAACUCUGUGCCAGCAGCCGCGGUAAUACAGAGGGUGCGAGCGUUAAUCGGAAUUACUGGGCGUAAAGCGCGCGUAGGCGGCUUUGCAAGUCGGAUGUGAAAUCCCCGGGCUCAACCUGGGAACUGCAUUCGAGACUGCAUUGCUCGAGUAUGGGAGAGGGAGGCGGAAUUUCCGGUGUAGCGGUGAAAUGCGUAGAUAUCGGAAGGAACAUCAGUGGCGAAAGCGGCCUCCUGGACCAAUACUGACGCUCAUGUGCGAAAGCGUGGGGAGCAAA
This 427-nucleotide ribosomal RNA is filed under the name uncultured Lysobacterales bacterium. RNAcentral's name for it is "bacterial SSU rRNA". It matches the Rfam family "Bacterial small subunit ribosomal RNA", at positions 353 to 772 of the family's 1533-position model. The record is from RNAcentral. Lineage: Bacteria; Pseudomonadati; Pseudomonadota; Gammaproteobacteria; Lysobacterales.